GCUGGUGUGAUGGCUCAGUGGUUAAGAGCACCGACUGCUCUUCUGAAGGUCCUGAGUUCAAAUCCCAGCAACCGCA
Molecule: transfer RNA, 76 nt
Filed under: Mus musculus (house mouse)
Lineage: Eukaryota; Metazoa; Chordata; Mammalia; Rodentia; Muridae
Description: tRNA-Ser
Source: RNAcentral